This 1615-nucleotide long non-coding RNA is filed under the name Lathyrus oleraceus (garden pea). Its description in RNAcentral is "Pisum sativum (pea) long non-coding RNA (PSAT_LNC008772)". Lineage: Eukaryota; Viridiplantae; Streptophyta; Magnoliopsida; Fabales; Fabaceae. The record is from RNAcentral.
UUUUAUUAAGUUAAUAAUAUUAUUUUAUUAAUUUAAUUAAAUAAAAUGGAAUUAUUGGAUUAUUUUUAUUAUUAUUAUUAUUGGAAUAAUAAUUAUUGGAAGGUAUAUAUAUAAGUUGGAAUAAGAGAAAAAGUUCUAUUUUCUGUUUGGAAAAAGGGUUUUACGUGAAAGUGGAAAAGCUGCAGAGAAGAGGAAAAGAACUGUAGAGCGAAGGUUGAGGAACGGAAAAGCUGAAGCUUAGAGAUUGCUCAGAACUUCCUUCAAUCCAAAGAGGUAAGGGGUCUGAACCUUAUUAAAUGAUAAUAUGCGAGCAAUUUCGUGAUCUGUGGUAGAUUGUUGAUUGAUUUUGGGGAUUUUAGGGAGAUUGGGAAAGUUGGGGUUUAUCGUCGUUUAGCACUACGAUGAAUAAGUCGAAUUAAGCUGAAAUUGAAUCCGUAGUUGUGUGAGUCGCGUUUUCCCGAACGCGUAGCUUUUUACGGAAGUUGAAUCGGAGGUCCGGAAGUCCUCUAACGGCGGAAAAUGCGGAGAACUCUGCAUUCUGCCUUGUGUUAGCGCAGGAACUGCUGUUUUGUCUGCGUUAACCGGUUAACCCAGGGUGUUAACCGGUUAACACUGUUAUAUAUUGUGAAACUGUUGUGUUUUGCCUGCGUUAACCGGUUAACCUAUAGUGUUAACCGGUUAACACUGUUGCGUUCUGCCAAGAAGUGAGUUUUUGCCUGCGUUAACCGGUUAACCUAUGGCGUUAACCGGUUAACACUGUCCCAGUAUGGAAAAAUGGAUAAUUUUUAUGUUGAAAUUGUGAUUUGGCAUAUUGUGGUUAAUUGUGAUGAAUCAAAUUGUUAAGUUGUAAUGUUGUAUGUUGUUUUGUUGAGUUGUAUGUCAUGCUAUUAAUGAUGAAGAUAACAUGAUUACAUGAUGUUGUUGUUGCGAUGUUGAUUAUGAUGCAUGUUUGGUGUGCAUGCAUUCAUGAAAGGCCGAUGCCUAGUGAUGAACGGACUGAGUUCCAAUGAUGUUGUUGACUCCGGCUUAUUGAGAGGCUUGGUUCCUUACGGGGGACUCGGAUUCUAUGGUGAAGAAUCUGGGAGUGGUGAUCCUGUAGUGGUCACAAAAUGGGUAUACCGAGUCGUGUUGAGUCAUGCAUGGGUGUGUGCAUUGCAUUGAUAUGUUGUCUUGUUGAUGUUCAUGAGUAUGUUGAUAUGAUGAGUAUGAUGAGCGGUGUUGGUAUAUGUGGAAUAUAGUUAUGUUUAUAUUUCUGUCGUAUAUUAUUAUUUAAUAAUGUAAUUCUCACCCCUUCUGCAUGUAUUUAUGUUCAUCUAUGAUGAGCAAUGUGCAGAUAAAGAGGAGUAGCUUUUGUUGAGGUUUGAAGAAUAAGUGUAGAGUUAUUCUACGGAGUCGAGUCAAAUGCUCUGGUCAUGUGACACCGGGGUUAUGGGAUUCGAUAGAUAAUUAUAUUUUAUUUACGUUGUUUAUGAGGAUUAAAAUGUUGAGAUGUUUCGUUGAGAUAAUGUUGAAACAUUUUUAUGAAUUAUUAUAUGAUGAAAAAUAAUAAUUAUGUUGUUGUCCGCUGCGAAGUUUUAAUAAAAUAAAUAAUAAUAAUUAUGUUGUGAUGCGAUAA